Schistocerca serialis cubense is the source of this 564-nucleotide long non-coding RNA. RefSeq lists it as uncharacterized. The transcript is spliced from 3 exons. Lineage: Eukaryota; Metazoa; Arthropoda; Insecta; Orthoptera; Acrididae. The record is from RefSeq and is a predicted model, not a curated record.
CAGCCUUGUGGGAAACGAGCCAACGGUUUGUAUUUUGUUUGUAGUUUCGUGCAGUUACAGUGCCGGAGAACUGGGUUACUGAUUAAUUUCGUAAGUUUUAGCAGUUGCAGUGUGUUAAAAAGUGAAUAACAUUGAAAAAAAUGGCAAGUAACUUUUACAUAUCGAAUGUCAACAUGCACAUAAAUGGACACACGAUAGCGAAGACAAUCCUAGUGAAAUGGACGCUGUAUCAUGAAGGAAUUCAAAAGUUCGUCACUUGCUGUAUAGCGUUGUUCUUUCUUACAGUCUGUUAACAGAGCGCAACGUUUACAAACCUGACUCGCCAAAUAAAUGUGAUUUUCAGCGAGUGUGAGUUACGCAGUGCAGGCUGAUACCAAGUUUGGACAUCAUAUGAGUUGAGACUUGAGAAUCAUAUUCAUCCUGUUAUGCAAACAAGGUUUGUCUCAAUAGUUGGUACGAAAAACCUCAGUUCUCUUCUUAAAAUAUGCAACAAAAAAUAUUAGAUCCAGACUUUGGAAGAAAGUGGAAUGGGAAGAAGGGAAGUGGGAAUUUCAUCCUAAUUUU